RNAcentral lists this ribosomal RNA (449 nucleotides) under uncultured bacterium. Its description in RNAcentral is "bacterial SSU rRNA". It matches the Rfam family "Bacterial small subunit ribosomal RNA", at positions 355 to 796 of the family's 1533-position model. The record is from RNAcentral.
UGGGGAAUUUUGGACAAUGGGGGAAACCCUGAUCCAGCCAUGCCGCGUGCGGGAAGAAGGCCUUCGGGUUGUAAACCGCUUUUGGUCGGGAAGAAAGGGUUCUCUUGAAUACGGAGGAUCUAUGACGGUACCGGCAGAAUAAGCACCGGCUAACUACGUGCCAGCAGCCGCGGUAAUACGUAGGGUGCGAGCGUUAAUCGGAAUUACUGGGCGUAAAGAGUGCGUAGGCGGUUGCUGAAGUCUGCUGUGAAAGCCCCGGGCUCAACCUGGGAAUGGCAGUGGAAACUAGGCGACUUGAAUCUGGCAGAGGGGGGUGGAAUGCCACGUGUAGCAGUGAAAUGCGUAGAGAUGUGGCGGAACACCGAUGGCGAAGGCAGCCCCCUGGGCUGAGAUUGACGCUCAGGCACGAAAGCGUGGGGAGCAAACAGGAUUAGAUACCCCCGUAGUCC